UCCCUUGUAGCUCAGUUGGUAAAGAAUCUGCCUGCAGUGCAGGAAACCCGGGUUUGAUCCCUGGGUUGGGAA
Transfer RNA from Ovis aries (sheep), 72 nucleotides. It matches the Rfam family "tRNA". From Rfam's summary of the family: Transfer RNA (tRNA) molecules are approximately 80 nucleotides in length. NCBI's taxonomy places the organism in Eukaryota, Metazoa, Chordata, Mammalia, Artiodactyla, Bovidae. The record is from Rfam.